Molecule: ribosomal RNA, 253 nt
Filed under: uncultured bacterium
Lineage: Bacteria
Description: partial 16S ribosomal RNA
Rfam family: Bacterial small subunit ribosomal RNA
Source: RNAcentral
UACAGAGGUCUCAAGCGUUGUUCGGAUUCAUUGGGCGUAAAGGGUGCGUAGGCGGCGCCGUAAGUCAGGUGUGAAAUUUCGGAGCUUAACUCCGAAACUGCAUUUGAUACUGCGGUGCUUGAGGACUGGAGAGGAGACUGGAAUUUACGGUGUAGCAGUGAAAUGCGUAGAGAUCGUAAGGAAGACCAGUGGCGAAGGCGGGUCUCUGGACAGUUCCUGACACUGAGGCACGAAGGCCAGGGGAGCAAACGGG